Molecule: ribosomal RNA, 253 nt
Filed under: uncultured bacterium
Lineage: Bacteria
Description: partial 16S ribosomal RNA
Rfam family: Bacterial small subunit ribosomal RNA
Source: RNAcentral
GACGUAGGAUGCAAGCGUUGUCCGGAAUUAUUGGGCGUAAAGAGUUCGUAGGCGGUUACCCAAGUCUGGUGUUAAAUCCCGAAGCUUAACUUCGGCAUGGCAUUGGAAACUAGGUGGCUAGAGUGUGGUAGAGGUAAAGGGAAUUCCAGGUGUAGCGGUGAAAUGCGUAGAUAUCUGGAGGAACACCGGCGGCGAAAGCGCUUUACUGGGCCAUAACUGACGCUGAGGAACGAAAGCCAGGGUAGCAAAAGGG